Glossina fuscipes is the source of this 1187-nucleotide RNA transcript. It is a transcript of the gene named WD repeat and FYVE domain-containing protein 2-like, with no coding region annotated. The record is from RefSeq and is a predicted model, not a curated record. Lineage: Eukaryota; Metazoa; Arthropoda; Insecta; Diptera; Glossinidae. The transcript has 2 exons.
GUGAUAAGAAUGUCUGCCGAAAUAAAGCCUGCCCAACGAAACAAUAUUCGCUUUAGCACCAGGAAGCCUGAAUUAUUAAGCAAACUAAAAGGGAGCGGUGAUGAUAUCAAUGCCGCCAUAUUAAUACCCGGUGAAAGUGGAGUAAUCAGCGUAUCAUACCAUAAGUAAGUGAUGACGUCAACAUCCGUAAACUCUCUUCGCUUUCACUAAGUCUGAGGAUAUGGUUAAAACGUGAUUCCCGGCAGUAUUGGCCAUGAAUUUGUCAUAUAGAUGUUAAGAUAGGUCGAUGUACAUAGAUACGUUUAAACCAUUGACCGAUAUUAAAAAAUCACCUGCUCGCAAACCAGCCUGGGCACAGAAUCUAGCGAUUCGGAGAUAAGUAGCGACAUUGGGGAUGAACCGUACAAUUACUAUGGUACAUGUGACCUGAUCCGUCGAAAGAAUCCCAAAAAGAAACCACGUGUGGAUGAGCGGUAAAAAGUUUAUAAUAAAAUAUAUUGUCUUUAUUCAUCAUAAUGUACAUGCAGAAACAAUGAAAAUCCAUGAUUUAUAGAAAAAAUUUAAGAAAUGUUUCGCAUGUUCCGUCAAAAUAACUUUAAUCUGAGAAAAGCAUAAAAAAAAUAUAUUAGAUGUUGAUAUGCGCUUCAUGAAAAACUUACAUUAAAUCUGAAAUCCUGUUUAGAAUCUUGCAAUUUUUCUAUUAAAACUGGCAAUUUUAUGGGAGGUAGUGACCGUUUUGAAUUGCUCCCGAAAGAUGGCGUACAAUUCGCAAAGCCAAAAAACAAUCCUUAAGGGGGGCUUUUUAAUUGAUAGAGCGUCCAUAGAUAACCCAUUUAAAACUUCAACGGCAACUCAAAGGUUUGGUUCGACAAAUUUUGCCAUUGACCUCUCCUUCAAACCGCAUACCGAUAAGAAGAUGACUUAAAGAACACUGCAAUUCCUCUAGGAACUGCUGAUGAAAAAAAAAAGGGAAUACCAAGCCGCAAAAUAUUGAGAAUGUUCAGCUGCCACGCCCAUAGCGGCCCCGUUGGGUCCGGGAAUACAAUUGGGACAUUGAUCUGCCCCCCCCCCGACAUAUAGAAUGUUUUAUCCGCUGAAUUUAUAACCUUACAUCAAAUUGUUUAAAGAUAUAAAAAUUCGUAAAGUAUUUAGAGAUCUCAAUUACAACCGUGCAAUAAUAUAUUUUA